RNAcentral lists this ribosomal RNA (432 nucleotides) under uncultured bacterium. RNAcentral's name for it is "partial 16S ribosomal RNA". It matches the Rfam family "Bacterial small subunit ribosomal RNA", at positions 338 to 795 of the family's 1533-position model. The record is from RNAcentral.
CCUACGGGGGGCAGCAGUAAGGAAUAUUGGUCAAUGGAGGCAACUCUGAACCAGCCAUGCCGCGUGCAGGAAGACAGCCCUUGGGUCGUAAACUGCUUUUAUCUGGGAAUAUGUACCAGAAGAAUAAGGAUCGGCUAACUCCGUGCCAGCAGCCGCGGUAAUACGGAGGAUCCAAGCGUUAUCCGGAUUUAUUGGGUUUAAAGGGUGCGUAGGCGGCCUGUUAAGUCAGGGGUGAAAGACGGUAGCUCAACUAUCGCAGUGCCCUUGAUACUGACAGGCUUGAAUGAACUAGAGGUAGGCGGAAUGUGACAAGUAGCGGUGAAAUGCAUAGAUAUGUCACAGAACACCGAUUGCGAAGGCAGCUUACUAUGGUUUAUUGACGCUGAGGCACGAAAGCGUGGGGAUCAAACAGGAUUAGAUACCCUUGUAGUC